This 488-nucleotide ribosomal RNA is filed under the name uncultured Denitratisoma sp. RNAcentral's name for it is "bacterial SSU rRNA". It matches the Rfam family "Bacterial small subunit ribosomal RNA", at positions 8 to 495 of the family's 1533-position model. Lineage: Bacteria; Pseudomonadati; Pseudomonadota; Betaproteobacteria; Nitrosomonadales; Sterolibacteriaceae. The record is from RNAcentral.
AGAGUUUGAUCAUGGCUCAGAUUGAACGCUGGCGGAAUGCUUUACACAUGCAAGUCAAACGGCAGCACGGGGGCAACCCUGGUGGCGAGUGGCGCACGGGUGAGUAAAACAUCGGAACGUAUCCUAGAGUGGGGGAUAGCCCGGCGAAAGCCGGAUUAAUACCGCAUACGCUCGAAAGAGGAAAGUGGGGGAUCGUAAGACCUCACGCCCUAGGAGCGGCCGAUGCCGGAUUAGCUUGUUGGUGAGGUAAAAGCUCACCAAGGCGACGAUCCGUAGCUGGUCUGAGAGGACGACCAGCCACACUGGGACUGAGACACGGCCCAGACUCCUACGGGAGGCAGCAGUGGGGAAUUUUGGACAAUGGGGGAAACCCUGAUCCAGCCAUUCCGCGUGAGUGAAGAAGGCCUUCGGGUUGUAAAGCUCUUUCGGCAGGAACGAAACGGUUUGGGCUAAUACCCCAGACUACUGACGGUACCUAAGAAGAGACC